Molecule: non-coding RNA, 188 nt
Organism: Penicillium solitum
Lineage: Eukaryota; Fungi; Ascomycota; Eurotiomycetes; Eurotiales; Aspergillaceae
Source: Rfam
UUCUCUUUGCCUUCUGGCUUAGAUCAAGUGUAGUACCUGUUCUUAUCAGUUUAAUCGCUGAUAGUUCUGCCCUACAGGACACCCCGAUUAAUCCAAUUUUUCGCACUCGCGACUUGGCCUCUGUGCUUGCAUACGCCCGUUGCACUGUGUCACUGGGCUUAUACUGCUCCCAGUUGAUGCGAACCCUC